Molecule: long non-coding RNA, 1174 nt
Organism: Homo sapiens (human)
Lineage: Eukaryota; Metazoa; Chordata; Mammalia; Primates; Hominidae
Product: long intergenic non-protein coding RNA 1094
Source: Ensembl
GCCUCCCAAAGGAAAACGUGGAUCUACUUACCAACGCAGAAAAUGAUACACACGGAUUCGAUUUAGGCACGCUACAUUCAAAUGACUUGGAAGAGCAGGUUCUCUGAGCCAGGAUACUAAAGUCCCUGUUUAGGAAAGAGCCACGUUGUAUGUUUACCCUACCACAAAGAUACAGUCAUGUGCCUGGGAAAGAUUGAUGCCAGCUCCAGAAAGGCAUCCGAAUGGUCUAAAAUUCUGGAGGAAAGUGGCUCUGGGAAUUGAACAGUGGCUCAGUGAUGUUGGGGCCACCAAGUCUGCAAUUCUCCCUACCUGUUCUUCAUGGUUGUAAGAUGACUGCUGCAAUUCUCGGCAUCAUGUGCAUGUUAAUGUCAGGAGGAAGAAAGGAAGAGGGAGCACUGGGAUGUUACAUUCAUUUUGUCAGGAAAAGCAAAGCCUUUCCAGACAGCUCCGAAACUUGCUUACCUCUCAUUGGCCAGCACCAUCACUUGACCACUUGUCCACUCCUAGCUGCAAGGAAAGUGGCAAAGUAGAAGGUAUUUGAGAAUGUCUGCUGGGUUAGCCAAAACAAUAGUGACUUCUACACCCAAUUUUCUGGGCACUGCAGAAGUAUCCUUGAGUCCUAUGUGAUCAGAGGGAGAGCAAACCUCAAUAAUGAAACAGAUUCAAUUUCCAUCACCCAGUGAGACACCAUGGGAUUAGAAUAAAUUUUUAAAAAAACAAAUUGAAAAAAAUGCAUUUUUAAAACAACAAAAUCAGAAAGGAUGAAAGGUGAUAUUUCUAGCAUAUCAGUUUGUGGUGGUAAAUUAAUUACCUUAUACAAAGGCCUCAGUGACUUUCUUCUCCUUACCUAACGAAUCAUCUUUAAAAUAAGUAAAAUAAAGAAACAAGAGCAGCAGCAGAUGCUUCCUAAAAAGAAGUUACCAAAUCUGUUCACCACAAACCUGAGAAUUCAACUGUGGACAUUUGGACACCAGCAAUGAACAUGAAACUCAGCUUAUGAGGCAUAUUUGGCUAAAGGUCAAGGUGACUUAAAGUUCAUCAUAGGACAUCUACAAUUUGCAAAGCAGGUGACUGGAUAUGGACUCCUUCCAAGUCUCAUUUAAUUGGAUAAUGCCUACGUUUUAAGUAUCAGAAGUGAGUCUUUCUCUAUUAAAUGAAGUCAGUUCCACUAAAA